RNAcentral lists this ribosomal RNA (253 nucleotides) under uncultured bacterium. Its description in RNAcentral is "partial 16S ribosomal RNA". It matches the Rfam family "Bacterial small subunit ribosomal RNA", at positions 524 to 776 of the family's 1533-position model. The record is from RNAcentral.
UACGUAGGGUGCAAGCGUUAAUCGGAAUUACUGGGCGUAAAGCGUGCGCAGGCGGCUUUGCAAGACAGAUGUGAAAUCCCCGGGCUUAACCUGGGAACUGCAUUUGUGACUGCAUGGCUGGAGUGCGGCAGAGGGGGAUGGAAUUCCGCGUGUAGCAGUGAAAUGCGUAGAGAUCGGGAAGAACAUCAGUGGCGAAGGCGGCCUGCUGGGCUGUUGCUGACGCUGAGGCGCGACAGCGUGGGGAGCAAACAGG